UACGAGGGGGGCAAGCGUUGUUCGGAAUUAUUGGGCGUAAAGGGCGCGUAGGCGGUGCGGUAAGUCACCUGUGAAACCUCUAGGCUCAACCUAGAGCCUGCAGGCGAAACUGCCGUGCUUGAGGGUGGGAGAGGUGCGUGGAAUUCCUGGUGUAGCGGUGAAAUGCGCAGAUAUCAGGAAGAACACCCGUGGCGAAGGCGGCUCUCUGGGACGGUACUGACGCUGAGACGCGAAAGCGUGGGGAGCAAACAGG
RNAcentral lists this ribosomal RNA (253 nucleotides) under uncultured bacterium. RNAcentral describes it as "partial 16S ribosomal RNA". It matches the Rfam family "Bacterial small subunit ribosomal RNA", at positions 524 to 776 of the family's 1533-position model. The record is from RNAcentral.